AGUGAACGCUGGCGGUAGGCCUAACACAUGCAAGUCGAACGGCAGCACAGUAAGAGCUUGCUCUUACGGGUGGCGAGUGGCGGACGGGUGAGGAAUACAUCGGAAUCUACUUUUUCGUGGGGGAUAACGUAGGGAAACUUACGCUAAUACCGCAUACGACCUACGGGUGAAAGCAGGGGAUCUUCGGACCUUGCGCGAUUGAAUGAGCCGAUGUCGGAUUAGCUAGUUGGCGGGGUAAAGGCCCACCAAGGCGACGAUCCGUAGCUGGUCUGAGAGGAUGAUCAGCCACACUGGAACCGAGACACGGCCCAGACUCCUACGGGAGGCAGCAGUGGGGAAUAUUGGACAAUGGGCGCAAGCCUGAUCCAGCCAUACCGCGUGGGUGAAGAAGGCCUUCGGGUUGUAAAGCCCUUUUGUUGGGAAAGAAAAGCAGCAGGUUAAUACCCCGCUGUUCUGACGGUACCCAAAGAAUAAGCACCGGCUAACUUCGUG
This 492-nucleotide ribosomal RNA is filed under the name uncultured bacterium. RNAcentral's name for it is "partial 16S ribosomal RNA". It matches the Rfam family "Bacterial small subunit ribosomal RNA", at positions 29 to 507 of the family's 1533-position model. The record is from RNAcentral.